Molecule: transfer RNA, 74 nt
Filed under: Lepisosteus oculatus (spotted gar)
Lineage: Eukaryota; Metazoa; Chordata; Actinopteri; Semionotiformes; Lepisosteidae
Rfam family: tRNA
About the family: Transfer RNA (tRNA) molecules are approximately 80 nucleotides in length.
Source: Rfam by way of RNAcentral
GGCCGGUUAGCUUAGUUGGUUAAAGUAAGGUGUUAAUAAUGCCAAGGUCGCAGGUUCGAUCCCCAUAUAGGUCU